RNAcentral lists this ribosomal RNA (412 nucleotides) under bacterium enrichment culture clone ALO1_GLFRUDD03HBOE8. Its description in RNAcentral is "bacterial SSU rRNA". It matches the Rfam family "Bacterial small subunit ribosomal RNA", at positions 9 to 424 of the family's 1533-position model. The record is from RNAcentral.
GAGUUUGAUCCUGGCUCAGAUUGAACGCUGGCGGCAUGCCUUACACAUGCAAGUCGAACGGCAGCACGGGAGCUUGCUCCUGGUGGCGAGUGGCGAACGGGUGGGUAAUGCAUCGGAACGUAUCCUGGAGUGGGGGAUAACGUAGCGAAAGUUACGCUAAUACCGCAUAUUCUGUGAGCAGGAAAGCGGGGGACCUUCGGGCCUCGCGCUCUUGGAGCGGCCGAUGUCGGAUUAGCUAGUUGGUGAGGUAAAGGCUCACCAAGGCGACGAUCCGUAGCAGGUCUGAGAGGAUGAUCUGCCACACUGGAACUGAGACACGGUCCAGACUCCUACGGGAGGCAGCAGUGGGGAAUUUUGGACAAUGGGGGCAACCCUGAUCCAGCCAUGCCGCGUGAGUGAAGAAGGCCUGGUU